Long non-coding RNA from Ostrea edulis (European flat oyster), 680 nucleotides. RefSeq lists it as uncharacterized. The transcript is spliced from 2 exons. The record is from RefSeq and is a predicted model, not a curated record. Lineage: Eukaryota; Metazoa; Mollusca; Bivalvia; Ostreida; Ostreidae.
CCCUACAAUUUUUUUUCGCUUUUUUGAAAAAAAUUCGUCGUUUUUUUGGAAAAAAUAUAUUCCCAGUUCUUAGUUUUCUUUUUAGUUAAACAUUGAGAUGAAGUCAUUCAAACGCUUUAACAAUGUACAAAAUUGCAUGGAAUUGUGUCAAGCGUUUAAACAACAUUGAUAAUGUUUAUAACUAACAGCAUGGUAUAGUCUCAAUAUACCUGGUGAAUUGCCAAUAAGAAGCUAAAGUGACCAGGGUUAAAAUGUAAAUAUGUUAAAAGAGUAUUUUAUAGAAUUUAAAUAGUUUCAUUCUUAUUGAUAUCUGUAUUAAUAUAGGGAGGUGACCAUUCUACAUUGAUCCAGUGCCUUUUUAUGGGAUUCGAAACUGUGACUGUGAGAUGUAUGAGAGUUUGACUUCUAGGCGGGCAAUUCUACUUUCACUUUAAACGGUAAGUUGAAAAGAGCAUGCUGCAUCUUUGACGUAAAAUAUCUCGAAAAGGAAUCAAGGACCCUAUUGCAAAUUUGGCCUUGUUGGAAAGGAUGGCAGGUGCCUGAGUGUAUCUUGACCCAUUUCCAGGCUAGCAUCAGAUGUCAUGAUGGACCUUUAAAAUCUUUCACAUGUGUACUUUUAAGAACCAUAUACAUUAUUUUUGAAAAUUGGUUGCCAUGGUAAUAAAAUCUGAAAAUUAAAA